Bacteroidetes bacterium GWE2_42_42 is the source of this 59-nucleotide non-coding RNA. The record is from Rfam. Lineage: Bacteria; Pseudomonadati; Bacteroidota.
UGCGCUGUGGAAAGAUUUGAUUGCUUGCAACCACGGUAAAAAAUGCUAAAAAGUAUUUG